UACGUAGGGGCCUAGCGUUGUCCGGAUUUAUUGGGCGUAAAGAGCUCGUAGGCGGUUUGGCUAGUCAGGUGUGAAAUCUCCACGCUCAACGUGGAGGGGCCACCUGAUACUGCCAUGACUUGAGUCCGGUAGGGGAGUGUGGAAUUCCCGGUGUAGCGGUGAAAUGCGCAGAUAUCAGGAGGAACACCGAUGGCGAAGGCAGGUCUCUGGGCAUUAACUGACGCUGAGGAGCGAAAGCAUGGGGAGCGAACAGG
Molecule: ribosomal RNA, 254 nt
Filed under: uncultured bacterium
Lineage: Bacteria
Description: partial 16S ribosomal RNA
Rfam family: Bacterial small subunit ribosomal RNA
Source: RNAcentral